UUUUUGCUAAAAUUUCAGCAACUACUUAAAUAUUAUAUGUUAUACAAUCUAAUUUAAGCUGUGCUUUUGAAUCUUGUGUGCAAAAGGUGGUGGGGAGCCUAAUAGCACCAGAGUUCACCCCCAGAGCAGGGGAUAGGGUUGGAAAGUCCAACUUCAACUGGCAAUGUCCAGGUGCUGAAGAAGCAGGAGGAGGGGAACUGCUAGGGAUUCAUGUGGGCUACAGAGGCACUGUAAGUGAACUCAUGAUUGCAUGUGAAGGGCCUAUUUUCUCUUCUCAACCUGCAAAUGGCUAAGCAGUAAAGAUGGGAACGAGUGCUCCAGCUCCAUUUAUUCUAGAUGGGACCAUGGUGCAGUAUUGUCUUUAAUCCAUCAUUUGAGAUUUGUUCUCUCCUGCACUCCACUCUGAGUCCAUCUCAUAUUUUCAUGAUCCCAAGUGUCCCAUUGCUAAAUGGCCUGCAUGCAAGGCCCAGUCCAGAGACUAGCCCCAUCAACUUUAAUUUUUUGCAUCUUAUCCCUGAAAUUAAGAGAUUAUCAGAAAAUUAGGCUGCAGUUUGGACAAAAUAAACCCUUUACAUGGAGCAUAUUAGAGGCUGGGUAGAUGGGGACACCGUCCCUGUGAUGAGGAUGACCUUGCCACACCCACAUGGGGCAUUCACCUCAUCAAUUAAGCCAAACUAAAUCCAAUGUGGCAUUUGC
This 696-nucleotide long non-coding RNA is filed under the name Bos taurus (domestic cattle). Its description in RNAcentral is "long non-coding RNA NONBTAT000457". Lineage: Eukaryota; Metazoa; Chordata; Mammalia; Artiodactyla; Bovidae. The record is from RNAcentral.